RNAcentral lists this ribosomal RNA (390 nucleotides) under uncultured bacterium. RNAcentral's name for it is "bacterial SSU rRNA". It matches the Rfam family "Bacterial small subunit ribosomal RNA", at positions 28 to 420 of the family's 1533-position model. The record is from RNAcentral.
GACGAACGCUGGCGGCGUGCUUAACACAUGCAAGUCGAGCGGUAAGGCCCUUUCGGGGGUACACGAGCGGCGAACGGGUGAGUAACACGUGGGUGACCUGCCCUUAGCUCUGGGAUAAGCCUGGGAAACUGGGUCUAAUACCGGAUAUGACUCCAUGACGCAUGUUGUGGGGUGGAAAGCCUUGUGCGGCUAGGGAUGGGCCCGCGGCCUAUCAGCUUGUUGGUGGGGUGAUGGCCACCAAGGCGACGACGGGUAGCCGGCCUGAGAGGGCGACCGGCCACACUGGGACUGAGACACGGCCCAGACUCCUACGGGAGGCAGCAGUGGGGAAUCUUGCGCAAUGGGCGAAAGCCUGACGCGGCGACGCCGCGUGAGGGAUGACGGCCUCGG